This 253-nucleotide ribosomal RNA is filed under the name uncultured bacterium. Its description in RNAcentral is "partial 16S ribosomal RNA". It matches the Rfam family "Bacterial small subunit ribosomal RNA", at positions 524 to 776 of the family's 1533-position model. The record is from RNAcentral.
UACGAAGGGGGCUAGCGUUGCUCGGAAUCACUGGGCGUAAAGCGCACGUAGGCGGGUCCUUAAGUCAGGGGUGAAAUCCUGGAGCUCAACUCCAGAACUGCCUUUGAUACUGAGGAUCUCGAGUUCGGGAGAGGUGAGUGGAACUGCGAGUGUAGAGGUGAAAUUCGUAGAUAUUCGCAAGAACACCAGUGGCGAAGGCGGCUCACUGGCCCGAUACUGACACUGAGGCACGAAAGCUAGGGGAGCAAACAGG